This 256-nucleotide ribosomal RNA is filed under the name uncultured bacterium. Its description in RNAcentral is "partial 16S ribosomal RNA". It matches the Rfam family "Bacterial small subunit ribosomal RNA", at positions 99 to 353 of the family's 1533-position model. The record is from RNAcentral.
CGGACGGGUGAGUAACGCGUGGGUAACCUGCCUCAUACAGGGGGAUAACAGUUGGAAACGACUGCUAAUACCGCAUAAGCGCACAGGAUUGCAUGAUCCGGUGUGAAAAACUCCGGUGGUAUGAGAUGGACCCGCGUCUGAUUAGCCAGUUGGCAGGGUAACGGCCUACCAAAGCGACGAUCAGUAGCCGACCUGAGAGGGUGACCGGCCACAUUGGGACUGAGACACGGCCCAAACUCCUACGGGAGGCAGCAUG